GUGAAUCAUCGAAUCUUUGAACGCAAAUUGCACUCUCUGGUAUUCCGGAGAGUAUGCCUGUUUGAGGGUCAGUAAAUAUAAAAAUCGGGGUGGCUGCUGCCUUUCGUGGUGACGCAGCUGAUUGGGGUUGUCUUGCCUUCGGUUAAGUGACCUAAAAUUUUGCAUGAUUUUUUUUGAACGUAUUUAAAUGAUUUUAGGUACGUUUGCGGUAUCGAGUACUAGGUGUGGUAAUCAUCA
Molecule: unclassified non-coding RNA, 237 nt
Filed under: Glomus sp.
Lineage: Eukaryota; Fungi; Glomeromycota; Glomeromycetes; Glomerales; Glomeraceae
Description: partial contains 5.8S ribosomal RNA and internal transcribed spacer 2
Rfam family: 5.8S ribosomal RNA (bases 1-71)
Source: RNAcentral